Molecule: ribosomal RNA, 406 nt
Filed under: Verrucomicrobiota bacterium
Lineage: Bacteria; Pseudomonadati; Verrucomicrobiota
Description: Verrucomicrobia bacterium partial 16S ribosomal RNA
Rfam family: Bacterial small subunit ribosomal RNA
Source: RNAcentral
UGGGGAAUAUUGGGCAAUGGGCGAAAGCCUGACCCAGCAACGCCGCGUUAAUGAUGACGGCCUUCGGGUUGUAAAAUUCUUUGGACAGGGACGAAGAAAGUGACGGUACCUGUAGAACAAGCCACGGCUAACUACGUGCCAGCAGCCGCGGUAAUACGCAGGUGGCGAGCGUUAUCCGGAUUUACUGGGCGUAAAGGGCGUGUAGGCGGCUAGAUAAGUGUGAUGUUUAAAUCCAAGGCUUAACCUUGGGGUUCAUUACAAACUGUUUAGCUUGAGGGCUGUAGGAGAUGGUGGAAUUCCUAGUAUAGCGGUAAAAUGAGUAGUUAUUAGGAGGAACACCGGUAGCGAAGGCGGCUAUCUGGACGGAAACUGACGCUGAGGCGCGAAAGCGUGGGGAGCAAACAGG